RNAcentral lists this transfer RNA (69 nucleotides) under Sminthurides bifidus. RNAcentral describes it as "tRNA-Ser". It matches the Rfam family "tRNA". From Rfam's summary of the family: Transfer RNA (tRNA) molecules are approximately 80 nucleotides in length. Their secondary structure includes four short double-helical elements and three loops (D, anti-codon, and T loops). The record is from RNAcentral. Lineage: Eukaryota; Metazoa; Arthropoda; Collembola; Symphypleona; Sminthurididae.
AAUUAAUUGGCUGAAUCUAAGCGUUUAUCUUGAAAAUAAAUUAAAUAGGUUAAACCCCUGUAUUAAUUA